GACGAACGCUGGCGGCGUGCUUAACACAUGCAAGUCGAACGGAAAGGCCCCUUUGGGGGUACUCGAGUGGCGAACGGGUGAGUAACACGUGAGUAACCUGCCCUUGACUUCGGGAUAACUUCAGGAAACUGGGGCUAAUACCGGAUAGGAAUCCUUGCUGCAUGGUGGGGGUUGGAAAGCUUCGGCGGUUUUGGAUGGACUCGCGGCUUAUCAGCUUGUUGGUGGGGUAGUGGCUUACCAAGGCUUUGACGGGUAGCCGGCCUGAGAGGGCGACCGGCCACAUUGGGACUGAGAUACGGCCCAGACUCCUACGGGAGGCAGCAGUGGGGAAUAUUGCACAAUGGGCGGAAGCCCGAUGCAGCAACGCCGCGGGCGGGAUGACGGCCUUCGGGUUGUAAACCGCUUUCAGCAGGGGCGAAGCUUGUGGUGACGGUACCUGCAGAAGAAGCACCGGCUAACUACGUG
RNAcentral lists this ribosomal RNA (465 nucleotides) under uncultured bacterium. Its description in RNAcentral is "partial 16S ribosomal RNA". It matches the Rfam family "Bacterial small subunit ribosomal RNA", at positions 28 to 507 of the family's 1533-position model. The record is from RNAcentral.